This 254-nucleotide ribosomal RNA is filed under the name uncultured bacterium. Its description in RNAcentral is "partial 16S ribosomal RNA". It matches the Rfam family "Bacterial small subunit ribosomal RNA", at positions 524 to 776 of the family's 1533-position model. The record is from RNAcentral.
UACGUAGGGGCCUAGCGUUGUCCGGAUUUAUUGGGCGUAAAGAGCUCGUAGGCGGUUCGGUAAGUCAGGUGUGAAAUCUCCACGCUCAACGUGGAGGCGCCACCUGAAACUGCCGUGACUCGAGUCCGGUAGGGGAGUGUGGAAUUCCCGGUGUAGCGGUGAAAUGCGCAGAUAUCGGGAGGAACACCGGUGGCGAAAGCGACGCACUGGACCUCUUCUGACGCUGAGGCGCGAAAGCCAGGGGAGCAAACGGG